This is a long non-coding RNA of Ixodes scapularis (black-legged tick), 380 nucleotides long. RefSeq lists it as uncharacterized. Lineage: Eukaryota; Metazoa; Arthropoda; Arachnida; Ixodida; Ixodidae. The record is from RefSeq and is a predicted model, not a curated record. The transcript has 3 exons.
AAAGCCUUAAACCUGCUCAAUCUUACCCCUGUUGCUCUGGGCAUAGCCUCCACACCGGAGAACCCAGGCGAGCUCUGCGACCGAUGUGGCCGGAGUUGACCAAGGUGUGGUCCGAGUUCCAGUUGAAGGAGAGGCAGUGUCUAGUGGUUGCUGUGAGACAUGCAGUUUGAGAGUGUGUGUUACCACAAGAAAGCCUUAAACCUGCUCAAUCUUACCCCUGUUGCUCUGGGCAUAGCCUCGACACCGGAGAACCCAGGCGAGCUCUGCGACCGAUGUGGCCGGAGUUGACCAAGGUGUGGUCCGAGUUCCAGUUGAAGGAAAGGCAGUGUCUAGCGGUUGCUGUGAGACAUCCUGUUUGAGAGUGUGUUACCACAAGAAAG